AGAGUUUGAUCAUGGCUCAGAGCGAACGCUGGCGGCAGGCUUAACACAUGCAAGUCGAGCGGGUGUAGCAAUACAUCAGCGGCAGACGGGUGAGUAACGCGUGGGAACAUACCUUUUGGUUCGGAACAACACAGGGAAACUUGUGCUAAUACCGGAUAAGCCCUUACGGGGAAAGAUUUAUCGCCGAAAGAUUGGCCCGCGUCUGAUUAGCUAGUUGGUGAGGUAAUGGCUCACCAAGGCGACGAUCAGUAGCUGGUCUGAGAGGAUGAUCAGCCACAUUGGGACUGAGACACGGCCCAAACUCCUACGGGAGGCAGCAGUGGGGAAUAUUGGACAAUGGGGGCAACCCUGAUCCAGCCAUGCCGCGUGAGUGAUGAAGGCCCUAGGGUUGUAAAGCUCUUUUGUGCGGGAAGAUAAUGACGGUACCGCAAGAAUAAGCCCCGGCUAACUUCGUGCCAGCAGCCGCGGUAAUACGAAGGGGGCUAGCGUUGCUCGGAAUCACUGGGCGUAAAGGGUGCGUAGGCGGGUCUUUAAGUCAGGGGUGAAAUCCUGGAGCUCAACUCCAGAACUGCCUUUGAUACUGAGGAUCUUGAGUCCGGGAGAGGUGAGUGGAACUGCGAGUGUAGAGGUGAAAUUCGUAGAUAUUCGCAAGAACACCAGUGGCGAAGGCGGCUCACUGGCCCGGUACUGACGCUGAGGCACGAAAGCGUGGGGAGCAAACAGGAUUAGAUACCCUAGUAGUCC
Molecule: ribosomal RNA, 744 nt
Filed under: uncultured bacterium
Lineage: Bacteria
Description: bacterial SSU rRNA
Rfam family: Bacterial small subunit ribosomal RNA
Source: RNAcentral